AUGUCAACUUCAUCUAUGAAUAUCCGUCCUGCAGAUGGUUCAACGACCCGAAACAAAGCCUGGAUGAGAGUAGACUUCCCACUCCCUGUCCGCCCUACCACCCCAAUUUUCCUUUCUCCAGGAAAUGUGCAGCUUAUGCCCUUGAGAACCAUGGGCAUGUCAGGGCUGUACUGA
RNAcentral lists this ribosomal RNA (174 nucleotides) under Triticum aestivum (bread wheat). RNAcentral describes it as "partial small subunit ribosomal RNA". Lineage: Eukaryota; Viridiplantae; Streptophyta; Magnoliopsida; Poales; Poaceae. The record is from RNAcentral.